This 580-nucleotide ribosomal RNA is filed under the name Falklandius antarcticus. RNAcentral describes it as "partial 16S ribosomal RNA". It matches the Rfam family "Bacterial large subunit ribosomal RNA", at positions 1924 to 2782 of the family's 2925-position model. Lineage: Eukaryota; Metazoa; Arthropoda; Insecta; Coleoptera; Curculionidae. The record is from RNAcentral.
UGAAUGGCCGCGGUAUUUUAACCGUGCAAAGGUAGCAUAAUCAUUAGUUUUUUAAUUAAAAGCUGGUAUGAAUGGUUGGAUGAAAAAGUGACUGUCUCUAUCUAAGUUUUUUAGAAUUUUAUUUUUAAGUAAAAAAGCUUAAAUUAUAUUAGAAGACGAGAAGACCCUAUAGAGUUUAAUUAAUUUUUGUUAUAAAGUUUUUAGUAUUUUUAAUUUUAUUAUAGUUGAUUAAUUUGAUUGGGGUGAUUUAAAAAUUUAAUAAACUUUUUUUGUAUUUAUACAUUAAUUUAUGAUUACUUGAUCCUUAAUUUAAGAUUAAUAGAUAAAAUUACCUUAGGGAUAACAGCGUUAUUUUUUUAGAGAGUUCUAAUCGAAAAAAAAGAUUGCGACCUCGAUGUUGGAUUAAAAAAAAAUUUUGGUGUAGAAGCUAAAAUAUUUAGGUCUGUUCGACCUUUAAAAUUUUACAUGAUCUGAGUUUAAACCGGCGUGAGCCAGGUUGGUUUCUAUCUCUAUUAUAAAUAAAUAUUUUAGUACGAAAGGACCGAGUAUUUAAUUAAUAGUUUUAACUUUGAAUAUAAUU